AGGUUGGCCGCGAGGGUUCCAUUCGGGAUUCAGCCAUUCCUAAAUCCCAAUUUCCCAUUUGCCUCUUCCAGUCUUCCCUCUUCUAUUCCUUCUUCCCUCUUCGGCUCUUCCCUUCCCAAGUUCGCAGUUCGCGAGUCGCAACUUAGCCGGCAGCCGGCACUCCAUGACUCUCAGUCCCAAUUCCCUUUAGCUUCGCCUUCCCUUCCCAGUUCCGUUCCCACUUCGCAGUUCACACGCAGUCGGCGACGACGAGUUCGAACUUCCUGUUCCAGAUCGACAGAUCCAGUCUUCCCCUUCGGACUUCGGCUUCCACCUUCCCAACUUCGUAGCUCGCACUCUCGCAGACUCGCAGUAGUCCUUCGGACCUUCCGUUCUUCAGAGAAGCAUCAUUUUGUGAGAGACUUCAAUUUUUGCAUCAUUGAGAAGCAUCAUUUUGCAAGGGACUUCAAUUUCAUCCCAAAAAAGCAUCAAUUUGAUCUGUUCUUGUUAUUGCUAAAAUGAAGGAAGAAGAAGUGAACCUAUGCCAGAUUCAAGAAUGGUAUCCCAAAUUUAAAUCUGUUUCCAUUAAAACCCAAAUUCAUGAACUUCCAGAGUCUUUUGUCAAAUACCUUCUAGAUGAUUCGGGGCCCUUCCUUCUUCCGCUUUCCAUUUCAAAUGAUGAUGCCCUGCCUAAUAGAAUCCACAACCCUUUGGACGAGGAAGAUUGCCAAGUAUCUGAAGGAUCUGAAGAUGAAUCAGAGAAAUCAUUAUCACCUCCUUCUUUUCCAGAUCUUGAAUUGAAGGUUAAAAACUCAAUCGACUCACUUGGUGGUGCAAUUUUCCCUAAACUGAAUUGGAGUGCACCAAAGGACUCGGCUUGGAUUAGCACUACUGGAACUCUCCGAUGCUCCUCUUUCAGUGAGAUUGUGCUCUUGUUGCGGUCAUCUGAUUCAUUGGUACAUGAUCUAUGCCAUGCAUAUGAUGCUUGCAUUGAUAAAACAUCAUCAAGGCCUGCAAUUUUCUAUCUUGCCCUUCGCAAGUGGUAUCCCUUGCUUCGCCCAGAAAUGGAGUUUCGCUGCUUUGUAUGGGGAAAGAAAUUGGUUGGAAUUUCCCAACGUGAGGUCACUGGGUUUUAUCCAGCACUUGUUGAAAAGAAAAAUGAUAUUGAAGCUUUGAUUUGGGAAUUUUUUGUUGAUAAUGUGAGGUUUAGAUUUGAAUUGGAAAAUUAUGUAUUUGAUGUCUAUAUCACAAAUGAUGAGCGGGUAAAGCUUGUUGAUUUUAAUCCUUGGGGUGCCUUUACACUGUCGUUGCUAUUUGAUUGGGAAGAAUUGGAGCAAAAGUUUAGGGAAGAGAGGGAUGAUGUGGAGUUUAGAAUUGUUGAGAGCCAGUGUGCUGUUCGACCAGGUUUGAAGACUGCAGUUCCCUAUGAUUACUUGGAUACCAACCCCGAUAGUGGCUGGGACCAGUUCUUUAGAAAGGCCGAUGAGGAAUUGCAGCAGCAAAUCAGGUCUCCUGAAGCAGGUGCAUGAGGAUUUAGUCUCUCAUUUUUUAGGUUAUUCUCAGGGAAAAAGUAGAUUGAAGACUUUGAUGGAAUAGGAUAUGGAGAUAUAGCUGCGAGAAAUUUGGUUAGUUACAAAUUACAAUUAUUGUUUAUCAAAUAAAUUUCUUCAAAAAUAAGGUAUUUGUGGUUCAUUUGUUUUGGUUGUGGCCUUGGAAAAAUAAAGUACGAAUAUUUGAAAUAUUACAUUCCACUAGUGCAUGCAUUGUUAGUUUGAAGGAUGUUAAUAUUUUUCUGUUGUGUUAAUUUUGUCUGUCGGUCCUUGGGCUUUGGUGGAAUUUCCAGAAAUUGUUUUUUUGAAUAUAUUUUAAGUUUUUUUCUUUUAAUUUACAUUGAUUAUCAGGAGUCCAUAGUAUUAUCUUUUCUAUGAAAUCUGUGGCUAUUCAUUUGCAAUAUUUGUAUUUCAUUGCUAACUUAGGGUCAUGAUGAGUUGGUGCAUGGAUGGAAUUAUUGUCCAGGCCCAGGGUUGAGUAAAGGGAAGUUCAGUGGAAUUUAUAUCUAAGUGUCAUGAACAUGCCUUAGGCUUGCUACAGUUCUAUUUUCCAAGAAACACCACAUUUAAAUGUUGUUUUGUUUUAGUUUCUUAUGCUUACAUUCUGUAUUAGAUUUCAUGUUAAAGUUGGGUCGGCAUGGCUUAAAAUGUGAAAACAUUGGGCUUGGAUCUAUGCUGACUUUAGUUAGUUUAGUUUGUUCGAUUUUAUUUAUUUUUAAAUAUCAUUUUGGUUUGUGAUUUUUUUUGUAUAUAAUGUGUAAAUAUGGUUCAAUUUGAAAAAAAUGUUAGCUUUGCUUCUCAUCUACCUUUUUAGAUCUGAAGUCUAUUAAUUUUGCUAUGGCUUAGCAUUCAAGAAACAUUUGAUCUGGCCAGUCUUCUUUGGACUGUAAUUUCACUUUACAAUAUUUUAGAUAACCAUUCGAUUAGGAUGCCUGGAUACGAACCAAUCCCAUUGUAAAGAGCGGAAAAAAAAUCAUGGUAACUUUGAUAGCAUUUGAACGAAGAGUUGUGGGAAUAAUUUGUUUUCCAUUUGUGAUAUCUUUAAUUUGUUUGUUCAGUCGUAAAAGGAUCUGCCUUUCCUUGUGCUGCUUGAAUUUGAUUUGUUAUGCUGCCAGCCCGUGCUUGCAGUCAAAAAAAAAAUCAGUCGUCUAAAAUUAGUUUGCAGGUUCAGAUGUUAGCAGAACUGCUAUGAUAUGUCUGAACUAAUACUAACUGAAUCGAAAAGGAACUAAUGCGUAUUAAACUGAAACGAAAAGGAAUUAAUGUGUAUUCUUCCCUUAAUGUAGAUAUGAUAUGUUGAUUAAAUCUUGCUUUUUUUUUUUUCCAAUAUCCUUUUGUAAAUUUAUAUCAUUUUGCAUGUAAUAUAUAUAAAUAUAAAGUAAGAGUGAGUCAUUCUUUCACCCAAUCUGCAUAUUUUUGAUUUAUAGUUGUGACUGUAUUUUGUGAUUUGUAAUUGAUAGUAGUAUGAUCUUCUCUGAUAUAAUGGAUGCAAGUACAUGUAAUAAUGGUAAUGUUGUUCUUAACUUAAUUUUUUGCUGGCCUUUUUUACUCAUUUGAAAUGAUUUGAUGAAUGGACAUUUAAUCAUCUAGGAAUAAACUUGUUAGAAUCUUUCCAUUUAACCAAGUACAUUCUUUUUCUUAGUUACAUUCAUUUUCUUGCCACCCUGCUGCAUAGUACAUUCUUUUUCUUAGUUACAUUCAUUAACAUGUGUAUUUGGUUUCUUGUGACUUGGGUGCGGUGCUGGGUGUUUUUUCCAGUCAGGUUUUGGGUUGGGUAGGUAUUGAGGAGAUUUGUUUUUGUAUUGGAGGGGAGAAGGGGGCAAGUGAACAUGACUGUUUGAAUGCUGGAGGUUUAAUGAAGAAUUGAAGUACUAGUACAAUGGGAGGCCAGAGGUGGUGGCAUGGAAUCUUGAAUUGUUGAUUCUUGAAGAGUUGAGGGGGAAGGGGGAGAUGGUUGAUUGGGGUGAUGGCGAUGAAGGUCGAGGGUGAUUUGUGAAGGACAGAAGGCUUGAUUCUCUAGGCGAUUCUCUAGGCGGGUGAAUGGGGAUGGGGAAUCCUAGUAAUCUAUUUGCCAGGGCUGGUGUUGGGUGUGGGAAACAAGGAUUUUGUUUUGGCCCUUAUAAGUCAUUUUAAUAAUAUAUUUAUUUAUUGUAAUGGAAAUUUCAAUUUUCAGUUCAAUACUGAACAUAUAUCUAUGUAAUC
Malania oleifera is the source of this 3731-nucleotide RNA transcript. RefSeq lists it as uncharacterized. The transcript is spliced from 4 exons. The record is from RefSeq and is a predicted model, not a curated record. Lineage: Eukaryota; Viridiplantae; Streptophyta; Magnoliopsida; Santalales; Ximeniaceae.